CCCCGUCACCACUGCCAUUCCUGUGAGUUAAAUGUGUGUCCCUGCUAAGACGUAACUGCAUCCUGAGAUACAGGAGGCUGAACACAAUAAUUUCUUAUUAGCCACUCACAUUCUAGUAUGAAUCAGUACAGUUUCCUUCCCCUGCCUGAUACAUAGGUGAGAGGGGUUUUAGCUGGAAUGUGUGCUUACAGCAGUAUUUCUCAAUUGUGAUUCCCACAUAUAAUUAACUAGAAUUUCCUGGACUAUCUGUAAAAAAGAGAUUCCUGGAAAACUUCUGCUUUGCAACCUUGCCUCAAGCCAGUCCCAUACUUCUAUUUCCAGGGUGAAAACAGUCCCAUCAGAAACAAAUAGAAAUCAUAACCCUAGGAGGUUUAAGACUUUCCAAAUGAAACAUUAAUUUGAAUAAACAAACAAGAAGCUCUGAGGCCAAAUCAACUUCCUCUCUUCAGAAAUUUCCAGCCUUUCUGCCCAUGCUGCUUAAUUGGGAAGCACAGUCAUUUGCCCCCACUGGAGUAUGGGGGUUAUGUGGGGUUUGGGGUUUAUGGGUGCUGUAGACACAACAGACUUCUAUUUCUGGUAAAUGUCAGCUGGAAAAGCAACUUUGUAUCCCAGACACUCCCCCUGCCCCAACCACUGCCCAGAGAGUUCUCCCUGAGAGAAGCUGAAUCACAAGAGAAUGGAGGCUCCUUCCCUGACUCCAGCCAAAGGUUCCCUGUCCCCAGCAGGCCUUCAGACACUCUGGGUUUCAGGAACUGGUUGCAGAACCGCCCGUUUGUUAGUGAUGCCCACCUUGACCCUUGACAGGACUCUCACAAGGUGACUCCGGUCUGGACACCCCCAUGCUAUGGAUAUACCUACUUAUACAAGAAUUAAGGUUUUUGCAAUCUGACAAUGACACUUUCAUAUUGGGCACCUACUUUCAAAAGCAUUCUCACCACCCAAACUGCCAGCGACGGAAGAGAACUAAAAAGUCUGCUCAGAUAUUACAAAGUACAACAGAAGCCAUGAGAAACAACCGGAUCUACUACUCAAGUGUCCCUGGUGUCUGCCAAACAGUCUUCAUCUCCCCAGGACCCUGCCCGAGUGUUGGAUACUUACAUAAAAACCCGUCAACUACAUAUUUUGAGAAAUCAUUCACACAGUAUUCUGGAACAUUUCUCAAAUACACCAGACUUUAUACAAAUUCAUCUCUAAGAAGCCAAUUUCACCUCUUCGUGUACUCUUUGACUGAAAGAAACUUCCUAAGCCUAAAUAUUUUUAUAUACAGAAUAUAUUGUAUUGAGUUACAAUUUAUAUACAUUCACAGAUGUUAAUCAUAUGAUGCUAUGAGUUUUUUCCACAUAUAUAUUAACCUGUAUAACCAAUGCCUCAGUGAAGGUAUAGAACAUGUCCGUUCCCCCUAAAAGCUCCCCCAUGCCCACCUGUACUAGUUACGUCUUGUCUUGCUCAAUAACAAGCUACCCCCUAAAACUUAGCAAUGUCAAAUAACAAGCUUUCUGUUUUAUUAUCUCACAUGGCUGCUGAGGGUCAGGAGUCUGGGUGUGGCCUGGCUGGGUGGUUCUGGCUCAGCAUUUAUCGUGAAGCUUCAGUCAAGCUGGGGACAGGACCACAGGCUCUGGGGAACUUGACUGGUGCUGAAGGAUUCACUUCCAAGCUCACUUAGUUAUUGGCAAGAAGUUAAUUUCUUACCAUGUUGGCCUCUCCUUAGGGAUGUUCAUGACAUGAUCCAGAGUAGUGGAGAGAACGAGAGAGAGGGAGAGGGAAGGAGAAAGAGAGAGAGAGAAAGAGAGAGAGAAUGAACAUAAGGCUGAAGCUGCAAUGUCUGUAACCUAAUCUCAGAAGAAGCGUACCAUGCCUUCACUUUUGCCUUAUUCUAUUGGUCACCCAGGCCAAGCCUGGUACGAUGAGGGAGGGAAUUAUACAACAUUGCGAACAUCAGGGGAAGAAAUCAUCCAGUGCCAUCUUGGAGGCUGGCUACCACACCACCUCAGUCAAUCUCCACCACUCCCACCCCCUCCCCCUAUGAUGGAAAUCAUGGCUCAGAUUUCUUUCACCAUAGAUUCAACUUGCCUAUUCUAGGACUUCAUAUAAACAAAAACAAAUAUCCAGUACUCUUUUUUGCAUGCUUUCUUUUACUUAGCAUAACCUUCCUGAGGUGUCUCCAUGUUGUUAUGGAUUUCAAGUAGCUCAUUCAUAUUUAUUGCUGAGUAAUAGUUCAUUUUAUGGAUUUCUAUCAGUUUGUUCCUUUGUUCCCCUGUUGAUAAAGUUUGAAUUGGUUCUAAUUUAGGGCCACUAUGAAAAAAGGCAGCUAAAAAUAUUCUUGUACAAGUUCAUUUGUGAAUAUAUGCUCUCAUUUCUCUUGAGUACACACCUAGAAAUGGAACUAUGGGGUCAUAGGGAACAUAUGUAUUUUGGAUAUACCUUUUAUUCUGGAUAAAAGAACUUUGUCAAAUAUAAAUUCUGGUGAAUAUUUUUCCUGUUCUGUAGUUUGCCUAUCCAUUUUCUUUUUAAAAAAAUAUUUUUAAAUUUAUUUAUUUGACAAAAAGAGAGAAAGUAAGUGAGUGCACAAGCAGAGGGGAACAGCAGAGGGAGGGAGAGGGAGAAGCAGACUCCCUGCUGAGCAGGGAGCAAGAUGCAGGGCUUGAUCCCAGGACCCCAAGAUCAUGACCUGAGCCAAAGGCAGUUGCUUAACUGAUGGAGCCACCCAGGCACCCUGCCUAUCCAUUUUCUUAAUGCUGUCUUCCUGUUUGAGCAGAAGUUUGUUUGUUUGUUUGUUUGUUUUUUUUUGUUUGUUUGUUUGUUUGUUUGUUUGUUUGUUUGUUAUCUGCUGGAUCCAAAUGGUUCUCUAAUUGUGGGCACAACUAAGCUAGAUAGGUCUGUGAGUACAGAUCUAUGAACUGGAUCUUAAAGGGUACAGGAGAGGCCAAGUCGGCUGCCCCAAUAAGGGAUGAAGGUAUUUUGGCAGCACUUUCCCAAUUCCAGGCUCAUUUGGCUAGGGCUCUACCAUUUAUGGGAAAGACCCAGAGAUCCAAAUACCUCCUAGAGACUCUGCAGACAGGUAAAGGCUCUCAACACAGGCCACCCAUUUCACCCCAGGUGCUCCCCAGCUCACAUUUGAGCCCUUAGCAUGGAUAUGUCAUGGGGACACCUGGACAAGGCUGACAGAGAUGUCGCCAUACUCAAGGUCACCCCAAUGUGACAUGAAAACAGUGAUGAGGAUGAGGAGUACACCAAAUCCUCUUCCCUGUAUACUUAACCUUGAGUCUAUACUUUAAAUUUGCUUUUACUGAGUUGGCAGUAAAAUCAAAUUCAGUGAGGAGCCCUCUUCCUCAUUUGUUCCAAUAUUUGAACCUGUUUCCAGACUUGAAUCCUCUUAUGGAAAGUGGUGCUUUUGUCUCAUUGUUGUAUUUGUCCAUUACUACAGCAGUAACUUUCUGUUUAAUACAUAGGUGUAUUUAAUAGGGAAGAUAAAUUUUAGAGUCAAGUCUCUAGGUUUCAUUUUUUAAAGUCUUUAUAUUUAAAAAUAAAAUAAAUAAAGUCUUUAGUAUUUUGAUGUGG
Long non-coding RNA from Vulpes vulpes (red fox), 3558 nucleotides. Lineage: Eukaryota; Metazoa; Chordata; Mammalia; Carnivora; Canidae. The record is from Ensembl.